AACCGACACAGGUAGGCGAGGAGAGAAUCCUAAGGUGUGCGAGAGAACUCUCGUUAAGGAACUCGGCAAAAUGACCCCGUAACUUCGGGAGAAGGGGUGCUUUUUAGGGUGAAUAGCCCGGAAAAGCCGCAGUGAAUAGGCCCAGGCGACUGUUUAGCAAAAACACAGGUCUCUGCGAAGCCGCAAGGCGAAGUAUAGGGGCUGACACCUGCCCGGUGCUGGAAGGUUAAGGGGAGAGGUUAGCGCAAGCGAAGCUUUGAACCGAAGCCCCAGUAAACGGCGGCCGUAACUAUAACGGUCCUAAG
This 305-nucleotide ribosomal RNA is filed under the name Bacillus sp. FSO11. RNAcentral describes it as "bacterial LSU rRNA". It matches the Rfam family "Bacterial large subunit ribosomal RNA", at positions 1652 to 1955 of the family's 2925-position model. Lineage: Bacteria; Bacillati; Bacillota; Bacilli; Caryophanales; Bacillaceae. The record is from RNAcentral.